Non-coding RNA from Cinara cedri, 644 nucleotides. NCBI's taxonomy places the organism in Eukaryota, Metazoa, Arthropoda, Insecta, Hemiptera, Aphididae. The record is from the annotation of a GenBank genome assembly.
AUUUUUAAUGUUUACGUGUUUUUUUUUUUUUUUAUUAUUUUUUUUUUUUAACCACGCUGUUGUAUCGGUAAAUGUAUAUCAUGUUGUUUAUAUCGGCUAAAGUCGGGGGUGCGAAUACACUCGCGGAAAACUGUCGCGACAUUUCUUCCGGACGUAUAAAUACAGUUUUGUGUGUGUGUGUGUGUGAUAUUUUUUCUUUAACGGUUUGCGUAUAGCAACGGCGGGACACGGCGACCUGACAACUCCCAUGUACAUCUGUACAUUGAUCUCUAUAGUCGCGUAUGGGUAUACAUCGUUACACGCAAUUGCGGGACUUUCUCGGAUAUUUCCGUGUGUACCGUGUACAUACUUGCGAACGUCCGUCGUCGUACGGGUUUUCCGAUUAUAUAAAUAUGUAUGUGUAUAUUUUCUUUUCGUCCGGAGUUUUGAUCUCAUUAAGUCUCAUUGGGGUGUUUUUUUUCCUAUCUACCGUCGUUUGUUUCCCGGCAAAAAACAAAACAAAAAUACGAAAACUAUACGCACUCCCCACCACCACCACCACCCCUUCAAACACACACACACACACACACACACACAUCUUUGGUCGUCUACCGUCGUAUCCGGUCUCGGACGAUCGGCAGUCAGCACGGGGUCGUCGCGAUUCG